UACGUAGGGGGCAAGCGUUGUCCGGAAUCAUUGGGCGUAAAGCGCGUGUAGGCGGCCUUGUAAGUCCGUUCUGAAAGCCCGGGGCUCAACCCCGGGAGGCGGAUGGAUACUGCAAGGCUCGAGUCCGGAAGAGGCAAGUGGAAUUCCCGGUGUAGCGGUGAAAUGCGCAGAUAUCGGGAGGAACACCAAUGGCGAAGGCAGCUUGCUGGGACGGUACUGACGCUGAGACGCGAAAGCGUGGGGAGCAAACGGG
This 253-nucleotide ribosomal RNA is filed under the name uncultured bacterium. Its description in RNAcentral is "partial 16S ribosomal RNA". It matches the Rfam family "Bacterial small subunit ribosomal RNA", at positions 524 to 776 of the family's 1533-position model. The record is from RNAcentral.